Molecule: ribosomal RNA, 763 nt
Filed under: uncultured archaeon
Lineage: Archaea
Description: bacterial SSU rRNA
Rfam family: Archaeal small subunit ribosomal RNA
Source: RNAcentral
UUCCGGUUGAUCCCGCCGGACCUGACUGCUAUCGGAUUGAUACUAAGCCAUGCGAGUCAUUGUAGUAAUACAAGGCAGACGGCUCAGUAACGCGUAGUCAACCUAACCUAUGGACGGGAAUAACCUCGGGAAACUGAGUAUAAUGCCCGAUAGAACAUUAUGCCUGGAAUGGUUUAUGUUCCAAAUGAUUUAUCGCCGUAGGAUGGGACUGCGGCCUAUCAGUUUGUUGGUGAGGUAAUGGCCCACCAAGACUAUUACAGGUACGGGCUCUGAGAGGAGUAGCCCGGAGAUGGGUACUGAGACACGGACCCAGGCCCUAUGGGGCGCAGCAGGCGAGAAAACUUUGCAAUGUGCGAAAGCACGACAAGGUUAAUCCGAGUGGUUUCUGCUAAAGGAACCUUUUGUCGGUCCUAGAAACACCGAUGAAUAAGGGGUGGGCAAGUUCUGGUGUCAGCCGCCGCGGUAAAACCAGCACCUCAAGUGGUCAGGAUGAUUAUUGGGCCUAAAGCAUCCGUAGCCGGCUCUGUUAGUUUUCGGUUAAAUCUGUACGCUUAACGUACAGGCUGCCGGGAAUACUGCAGAGCUAGGGAGUGGGAGAGGUAGACGGUACUCGGUAGGAAGGGGUAAAAUCCUUUGAUCUAUUGAUGACCACCUGUGGCGAAGGCGGUCUACCAGAACACGUCCGACGGUGAGGGAUGAAAGCUGGGGGGAGCAAACCGGAUUAGAUACCCGGGUAGUCCCAGCUGUAACUAUGCAAACUCAG